Molecule: transfer RNA, 69 nt
Filed under: Epiplatys lamottei (redspotted panchax)
Lineage: Eukaryota; Metazoa; Chordata; Actinopteri; Cyprinodontiformes; Nothobranchiidae
Description: tRNA-His
Rfam family: tRNA
About the family: Transfer RNA (tRNA) molecules are approximately 80 nucleotides in length. Their secondary structure includes four short double-helical elements and three loops (D, anti-codon, and T loops). Further hydrogen bonds mediate the characteristic L-shaped molecular structure. tRNAs have two regions of fundamental functional importance: the anti-codon, which is responsible for specific mRNA codon recognition, and the 3' end, to which the tRNAs corresponding amino acid is attached (by aminoacyl-tRNA synthetases). tRNAs cope with the degeneracy of the genetic code in two manners: having more than one tRNA (with a specific anti-codon) for a particular amino acid; and 'wobble' base-pairing, i.e. permitting non-standard base-pairing at the 3rd anti-codon position.
Source: RNAcentral
GUAGAUAUAGUUUAAUCAAAACAUUAGAUUGUGAUUCUAGAAAAAAAGGUUAAAACCCUUUUGUCCACC